AAUUGACCAAGAAAAGUAAAUGUUGACUAAAUUGGAAAAGGUAAAAUGGUAACUUGAUAAUUACCAUAUUAAAUAAAUUGAAAAAAAAUCAAAAAAUCAAAAAAAAAUAAAACAAUAAGAAAAUAAAUUAAAAAAGGGUUGUCUUCUUCAACCACCCCAUUCCACCCAACCCAACCCAGAAGCUCGAUUCCAUUGCCCCCAAUCUAACUAUCGGCAGCCUCUCACACAAAUCUAAGAAGGGAAGAAGUCUGGUAUCUCUUUGCACAACUUCACCAUUAAAUCGUACCCAACAAAUCCUCCAAAAAUCUCUCAAUCGAUGGCUGAAUAAAUUUGACGUUGGAACUCAAAUCCGAAGCCCCUGCCAACACCAAACCUAUUCUAUCUUCAUCCAUUUUUUGCCCUCUUUCUGUAUAUAUCUCUACUGUUUCUGCUUCAUCUAAUGAUUUGAAGAGAACGAGGGAUUCGAAAGGUGCAAUGAGGAAGGUCGGGGACUCGAUGUGUGUAGGGUUUUGGGGAGGCAAAAUCCAGGUGAUUGUGGUGCAAAAUAAAUAUUUGCUGCAACAGAUCGGAAUGGUCGUGCCAUAACAGAGACAGAACAACUAAAACGGACCAAAAUCAAUCUAUUUCUCCUCAUCCAUAUUAUAAAAUUAUCCUUGGUGUCUUCUUCCUCGCAAGAACUGGAGAAUCAAUUCGUCAGUUACCUCCUUAAAGUCCAUCAAAUCGCACAUUUCUUGGCCUUUAUAACCCUCAUUCGCACUCGAAGCGCCAUGUCUCGUUCAGCUCCUCCAAUUCUCAUGGAUUUACCUCCUUUCAUGGAUUUACCUCAUUUUCUUGUUGAUGAGUAUUGUUGGGUGGGCAGUGGUGGUAAUGCUGGCGGGUAGUGGUGGCUGCCGGCGAUGAAUGUGGUGGUUGGGUGGAGUGGUUUUGAUUUGGCAAAGAAGGAGAUGGUUUUAUUAUUUUUCUAAUUUUUUAUUUAAUAGGGAAAAUGUAUUAUGUCCAAAAUGUCCUUACCUUAGUUUGGGGAAAUAAUUAAAUUUUUAAUUUUUGAGGUCAAC
RNAcentral lists this long non-coding RNA (1055 nucleotides) under Olea europaea subsp. europaea. Lineage: Eukaryota; Viridiplantae; Streptophyta; Magnoliopsida; Lamiales; Oleaceae. The record is from RNAcentral.